This 90-nucleotide transfer RNA is filed under the name Siphoviridae sp. ctHdl3. RNAcentral describes it as "tRNA-Met". It matches the Rfam family "tRNA". Rfam says of the family: Transfer RNA (tRNA) molecules are approximately 80 nucleotides in length. Their secondary structure includes four short double-helical elements and three loops (D, anti-codon, and T loops). Lineage: Duplodnaviria; Heunggongvirae; Uroviricota; Caudoviricetes. The record is from RNAcentral.
GGGACAGUAGCUUAGUCUGGUUAAAGCUCCUCGCUCAUAACGGGGUGAUGGGAUGAAAAUCUCACGCGAGUUCAAAUCUUGCCUGUCCCA